Molecule: ribosomal RNA, 759 nt
Filed under: uncultured Stenotrophomonas sp.
Lineage: Bacteria; Pseudomonadati; Pseudomonadota; Gammaproteobacteria; Lysobacterales; Lysobacteraceae
Description: bacterial SSU rRNA
Rfam family: Bacterial small subunit ribosomal RNA
Source: RNAcentral
AGUGAACGCUGGCGGUAGGCCUAACACAUGCAAGUCGAACGGCAGCACAGGAGAGCUUGCUCUCUGGGUGGCGAGUGGCGGACGGGUGAGGAAUACAUCGGAAUCUACUUUGUCGUGGGGGAUAACGUAGGGAAACUUACGCUAAUACCGCAUACGACCUACGGGUGAAAGCAGGGGAUCUUCGGACCUUGCGCGAUUGAAUGAGCCGAUGUCGGAUUAGCUAGUUGGCGGGGUAAAGGCCCACCAAGGCGACGAUCCGUAGCUGGUCUGAGAGGAUGAUCAGCCACACUGGAACUGAGACACGGUCCAGACUCCUACGGGAGGCAGCAGUGGGGAAUAUUGGACAAUGGGCGCAAGCCUGAUCCAGCCAUACCGCGUGGGUGAAGAAGGCCUUCGGGUUGUAAAGCCCUUUUGUUGGGAAAGAAAUCCAGCCGGCUAAUACCUGGUUGGGAUGACGGUACCCAAAGAAUAAGCACCGGCUAACUUCGUGCCAGCAGCCGCGGUAAUACGAAGGGUGCAAGCGUUACUCGGAAUUACUGGGCGUAAAGCGUGCGUAGGUGGUUAUUUAAGUCCGUUGUGAAAGCCCUGGGCUCAACCUGGGAACUGCAGUGGAUACUGGAUGACUAGAAUGUAGUAGAGGGUAGCGGAAUUCCUGGUGUAGCAGUGAAAUGCGUAGAGAUCAGGAGGAACAUCCAUGGCGAAGGCAGCUACCUGGACCAACAUUGACACUGAGGCACGAAAGCGUGGGGAGCAAACAGG